AGUCGAGCGCAGGAAGUUAUCUGAUCCUCUUUUAGAGGUGACGAUAAUGGAAUGAGCGGCGGACGGGUGAGUAACACGUAGGCAACCUGCCUGUAAGACUGGGAUAACUCGUGGAAACGCGAGCUAAUACCGGAUAACACUUUUCAUCUCCUGAUGAUAAGUUGAAAGGCGGCUUUUGCUGUCACUUACAGAUGGGCCUGCGGCGCAUUAGCUAGUUGGUAAGGUAAUGGCUUACCAAGGCGACGAUGCGUAGCCGACCUGAGAGGGUGAUCGGCCACACUGGGACUGAGACACGGCCCAGACUCCUACGGGAGGCAGCAGUAGGGAAUCUUCCGCAAUGGACGAAAGUCUGACGGAGCAACGCCGCGUGAGUGAUGAAGGUUUUCGGAUCGUAAAACUCUGUUGUUAGGGAAGAACAAGUGCCAUAGUAACUGAUGGCACCUUGACGGUACCUAACCAGAAAGCCACGGCUAACUACGUGCCAGCAGCCGCGGUAAUACGUAGGUGGCAAGCGUUGUCCGGAAUUAUUGGGCGUAAAGCGCUCGCAGGCGGUUCUUUAAGUCUGAUGUGAAAUCUUACGGCUCAACCGUAAACGUGCAUUGGAAACUGGGGAACUUGAGUGCAGAAGAGGAGAGUGGAAUUCCACGUGUAGCGGUGAAAUGCGUAGAGAUGUGGAGGAACACCAGUGGCGAAGGCGACUCUCUGGUCUGUAACUGACGCUGAGGAGCGAAAGCGUGGGGAGCGAACAGGAUUAGAUACCCUGGUAGUCCACGCCGUAAACGAUGAGUGCUAGGUGUUAGGGGGUUUCCGCCCCUUAGUGCUGAAGUUAACGCAUUAAGCACUCCG
RNAcentral lists this ribosomal RNA (846 nucleotides) under Oceanobacillus iheyensis. RNAcentral describes it as "bacterial SSU rRNA". It matches the Rfam family "Bacterial small subunit ribosomal RNA", at positions 60 to 871 of the family's 1533-position model. The record is from RNAcentral. Lineage: Bacteria; Bacillati; Bacillota; Bacilli; Caryophanales; Bacillaceae.